RNAcentral lists this unclassified non-coding RNA (381 nucleotides) under Hevea brasiliensis (rubber tree). The record is from RNAcentral. Lineage: Eukaryota; Viridiplantae; Streptophyta; Magnoliopsida; Malpighiales; Euphorbiaceae.
CAAAAGUUUACUUUCUUUGAGAAACCCAGUUCCAAAAGAAGUGCAAUUCCAGUGGGUCAUAUCUGAAGCUUCUAAAGAUCCAAUGGUUGGUGAAUUCUUAAUGAAAUUAGUUUGUACUGAAAAACAGAGGCUGAAAAGUGUUUGGGGAUUUAGCGCUAGUGAAAAUGCACAAGCUUCCUCUUACGUCAAAGAACCAAUUCCAUUAUUAAGGAUUACGGAUAAUGACCAGGAUCAUUGUGAUGUCAUAAAGUGCAAAAUUUGCUCUGAGACGUUUCCAGAUGAGCAAGUGCUUGGCACACACUGGAUGGACAGCCACAAAAAGGAAGCCCAAUGGCUUUUCAGGGGCCAGCCUGGUGGGAGGACAACAGGGGCUCCUCGUAG